Molecule: long non-coding RNA, 2042 nt
Filed under: Vitis vinifera (wine grape)
Lineage: Eukaryota; Viridiplantae; Streptophyta; Magnoliopsida; Vitales; Vitaceae
Description: long non-coding RNA (VVIN_LNC008276)
Source: RNAcentral
CCCCCAAAAUCCAAAAAGGAACACAAUAACAAAUAAAUGCCACGCUCCACUAGGCCGCUCCAGGAGCAUCCUGAAGUCCUCCCUGUCCCACCUGUGGAUCCUCAGGAGAGAUAUCUGCAUCUAAAAAGGUGUAACAAGGAAGGGGUGAGCAUUUCCACAUUGCUCAGUAGGGUGCCUAACACCCAAGGGGUUAAAGGGAUUACUAAGUUCAAAGAAUACGAAAAGAACACUUCAACACCAUAGGAACAAUUCAACAGUGUCAAUCAAACCACAUAGUUUAAUAUAUAUAAUUUUAUACCCAAUUUCACAAUAUUCAACAAUUACAUGAAUGCACAUGAACGUGUGACACACAGUCAUACAAUGCACUAUUGUUCUCGGGCUUUCACCGAAGGAUACGCGUCCGCACCCAAAUACACUCCCCAUUCGGAGUCUUCCCGGGGUAAACUUUUGGGUCUUUCACCCUAGGGAUCUCUCUCCCUUCUUAAUUCGCCUCACACGGGCUUCCACUUCUCAUCUCUAUUUCAUACACUUUUCACAAUCUUCAUGAUUUUAUUUAUUUAUUUAUUUUUCCACAUAACCAUGAUGCAAUGAAUGCCACAAUUCCAAUAUUCCUCAAUAAUUCAACAAUCUCAACAUUCCCCAAUAAUCCAAUCAAACAAUUUCACACAUUACAAUUUCCGAUAAUAUCCCAAAUAAAUAUUAAAAAAAUUGCAUAUCAACAAUCUUGAGAUUUUACCACACUUACAAAAUUUUUCAACCAUUAUAAUAAUUUCUAAUAUCCAAAAUUAACUAACUAUUUACCCUAAAAUUUUCGAAAAUAUUCUAACCAAUGCCUAAAAAUUCACAAAUCAUUAUAUUUAAAAUUUAACCCAAAUUUUGGAAUUUUCCAACCCAUCUAAUAAUUUUUAACCUUUCAAAACAAUUAAUUAUCAAUCAAAAUCAAUUUCCCGAAAUUCCAAAAAUUCCAAACAAACUCCAAAUAUUCUAGAAAAAUUCACACAACAUCCAUAAUUCCUAAUUAACUCAUAGUGACAAUAUUUACAAUUUUUUUUCAAGGGAAAAACAUAAAAAUUUGAGUUUUAGGGUUAGGGUCCCCUACCUCAGAUCUGAAAAUUUGACCGUUAAAAACAAAAUCAGCCACCGCAGGCUUGUUCGUUUAGUCGAAUAGAGUACUUCCUCCGAAUUUGGGCCGAAACAGAAAUCGUUUGGCCGUCCAAACGGCCGAUCAAAAUUCCGGCAAGUGCCCUAAUUUAUGAACAGUGCCCUUUUCUCUCUCUCUCUCCCGCGUGCUGCACUUUUCCAAUUUUCCCCCUUUUCCUUUUUUUUUUUAUUUAUUUUUAAAACAGCCCACUUCACAUGGCAGCCACUUAAGCCCACAUCCAAGCCCAACUCAAUUCCUUUCCUUUUUUACUAACAGCCCACUAGGCUUUUAAAAGCCACUAGCCACUUAAGCCCAACUCCAUUAAAUUUUUUUUUUCUUUUACAACCCAUAUUCAAAGCCCAUUGAAUAUAUUUAUUUUUUCUUUUCUUUUCUUUAUUCUAAUUGUUUUAUUUAAUUUCCAAUUCAUUUUUUUUUCAUUUUAACACACAAUUUUAUUUAUUAACACCAAAUAAAAACUAAUUUUCUCAAUAUUAUUAUUCAUCAAUUUAAUUUAAUUAAUUAAUUUAUUUUUCUUAAUUAAUUCUAAUUAAUCUUAAUUUAUUUAUUUUUCAUUUUUCGUUUUCGUAAAUUUCCAAUUUCUAAAAUCCUAAGAAUUUUCUAUCCUAAGGCUGACAUGACAUAAAAUUUCAACUCGUUUAAUUGACCGACGCAAUAAAAUGAAAUUAACCAAUCCGAAAUUGACACGUGUUCUCCAAACGCUUUUCUUUUUGACUUUUCAACCAUCACAUAAAUUAAGACUUUUCAAACUAAAAUUGCUAACGUGGCAUAAAAUACCCGGUCAUUACAUCCUACCCCCCUAAAAGAAAUUUCGUCCCGAAAUUUAAACUAGCUUACCUUAAAAUUCGUAGAAGAGUUGCGGAUAGUGUCGUCUCAUUUCUUC